This 331-nucleotide ribosomal RNA is filed under the name uncultured Actinomycetes bacterium. RNAcentral's name for it is "bacterial SSU rRNA". It matches the Rfam family "Bacterial small subunit ribosomal RNA", at positions 28 to 351 of the family's 1533-position model. The record is from RNAcentral. Lineage: Bacteria; Bacillati; Actinomycetota; Actinomycetes.
GACGAACGCUGGCGGCGUGCUUAACACAUGCAAGUCGAGCGAGAAAGCGGCUUCGGCCGUGAGUACAGCGGCGAACGGGUGAGUAACACGUGGGCAACCUGCCCCGGAGACUGGGAUAACAGCCCGAAAGGGCUGCUAAUACCGGAUGACGUACGGCCUGCCAAGCGGACCGUACCAAAUGGUAGCUUCGGCUUCUGCUCUGGGAUGGGCCCGCGGCGGAUUAGCUUGUUGGUGAGGUAACGGCUCACCAAGGCGACGAUCCGUAGCUGGUCUGAGAGGACGAUCAGCCACACUGGGACUGAGACACGGCCCAGACUCCUACGGGUGGCAG